Molecule: small RNA, 142 nt
Filed under: Bacillus sp. (in: firmicutes)
Lineage: Bacteria; Bacillati; Bacillota; Bacilli; Caryophanales; Bacillaceae
Description: Bacillus sp. c-di-AMP sequence
Rfam family: c-di-AMP riboswitch aptamer (ydaO/yuaA leader)
About the family: This family represents a conserved RNA structure found upstream of the ydaO and yuaA genes in Bacillus subtilis and related genes in other bacteria. The ydaO/yuaA element is thought to act as a genetic "off" switch for the ydaO and yuaA genes in its native state.
Source: RNAcentral
AACCUUAUAUCGCUUAAUCCAAUAGGAGCGGGGGACCCAAUUUUUUGUACAUUUGUACUUGGGGUGAAUCCUUUUUAAAAGGUAGGGCUACUCUUUAAGUCCGAAUCCAACAGCUAACCUCGUAAGCGUUUAGAGAGGAGGU